UAUGGAGAGUUUGAUCCUGGCUCAGGACGAACGCUGGCGGCGUGCCUAAUACAUGCAAGUCGAGCGGAGCACUUCGGUGCUUAGCGGCGGACGGGUGAGUAACACGUAGGCAACCUGCCUAUAAGACUGGGAUAACUAUCGGAAACGAUAGCUAAGACCGGAUAACUGGUUUUCUCGCAUGAGGGAAUCAUGAAACACGGAGCAAUCUGUGGCUUAUAGAUGGGCCUGCGGCGCAUUAGCUAG
RNAcentral lists this ribosomal RNA (243 nucleotides) under Paenibacillus anseongensis. RNAcentral's name for it is "partial 16S ribosomal RNA". It matches the Rfam family "Bacterial small subunit ribosomal RNA", at positions 1 to 248 of the family's 1533-position model. The record is from RNAcentral. Lineage: Bacteria; Bacillati; Bacillota; Bacilli; Caryophanales; Paenibacillaceae.